GUGCCAGCCGCCGCGGUAACACGUAGGAUCCGAGCGUUAUCCGAAUUUACUGGGCGUAAAGCGCGUGCAGGCUGUUUGGAAAGUUGGAUGUGAAAGCUCCUGGCUCAACUAGGAGAGGCCGUUCAAAACUACCAGACUUGAGGACAGUAGAGGGAGAUGGAAUUUCCGGUGUAGUAGUGAAAUGCGUAGAUAUCGGAAGGAACACCAGUGGCGAAGGCGGUCUCCUAGGCUGUUUCUGACGCUAAGAUGCGAAAGCUAGGGUAGCGAAUGGGAUUAGAAACCCGCGUAGUCC
This 292-nucleotide ribosomal RNA is filed under the name uncultured bacterium. Its description in RNAcentral is "partial 16S ribosomal RNA". It matches the Rfam family "Bacterial small subunit ribosomal RNA", at positions 505 to 796 of the family's 1533-position model. The record is from RNAcentral.